AAGUCGUAACAAGGUCUCCGUAGGUGAACCUGCGGAGGGAUCAUUAACACGUUCCAUACCAAUAUCAACCCAUCUGUGAACAUUUGUAUCCGCCAAUGGGCAGACACGGGAGUGCGGCGCACACUGAGGCUCAACGAUGAAGGUGGCAGAGGUGACUAUGGGAAGUGUGUCUCACACUUGUCAUAGUUCUCUGUCAUACGGGUCUAGUGUGCUGUGAUGUCAGUCUCUGAGCUGACAGUCGUCCCUGGGUUUGUUCGGCCCCCAUAUAUGUUUGCAGCGGUCAUCAUCUGCCGUUGUGAA
Molecule: unclassified non-coding RNA, 300 nt
Rfam family: Eukaryotic small subunit ribosomal RNA (bases 1-46)